AAUAGAUACCCAGGUAGUCCACGCCGUAAACGAUGAGUGCUAAGUGUUAGGGGGUUUCCGCCCCUUAGUGCUGCAGCUGACGCAUUAAGCACUCCGCCUGGGGAGUACGGCCGCAAGGCUGAAACUCAAAGGAAUUGACGGGGGCCCGCACAAGCGGUGGAGCAUGUGGUUUAAUUCGAAGCAACGCGAAGAACCUUACCAGGUCUUGACAUCUCCUGACCGCCCUGGAGACAGGGUCUUCCCUUCGGGGACAGGAUGACAGGUGGUGCAUGGUUGUCGUCAGCUCGUGUCGUGAGAUGUUGGGUUAAGUCCCGCAACGAGCGCAACCCUUGUCCUUAGUUGCCAGCAUUCAGUUGGGCACUCUAAGGAGACUGCCGGCUAAAAGUCGGAGGAAGGUGGGGAUGACGUCAAAUCAUCAUGCCCCUUAUGACCUGGGCUACACACGUGCUACAAUGGGCGGUACAGAGGGUCGCGAACCCGCGAGGGGGAGCCAAUCCCAAAAAACCGCUCUCAGUUCGGAUUGCAGGCUGC
RNAcentral lists this ribosomal RNA (531 nucleotides) under uncultured bacterium. Its description in RNAcentral is "bacterial SSU rRNA". It matches the Rfam family "Bacterial small subunit ribosomal RNA", at positions 777 to 1308 of the family's 1533-position model. The record is from RNAcentral.